UACAGAGGGUGCGAGCGUUAAUCGGAAUUACUGGGCGUAAAGCGUGCGUAGACGGUUAUUUAAGUCGGGUGUGAAAGCCCCGGGCUCAACCUGGGAAUUGCAUUCGAGACUGAAUAGCUAGGGUACGGUAGAGGGAAGUGGAAUUUCCGGUGUAGCGGUGAAAUGCGUAGAUAUCGGAAGGUACACCGAUGGCGAAGGCAGGUCUCUGGGCCACUACUGACGCUGAGAAGCGAAAGCAUGGGGAGCGAACAGG
Molecule: ribosomal RNA, 253 nt
Filed under: uncultured bacterium
Lineage: Bacteria
Description: partial 16S ribosomal RNA
Rfam family: Bacterial small subunit ribosomal RNA
Source: RNAcentral